This 464-nucleotide ribosomal RNA is filed under the name uncultured bacterium. Its description in RNAcentral is "partial 16S ribosomal RNA". It matches the Rfam family "Bacterial small subunit ribosomal RNA", at positions 339 to 795 of the family's 1533-position model. The record is from RNAcentral.
CUACGGGAGGCUGCAGUGGGGAAUUUUGGACAAUGGGGGCAACCCUGAUCCAGCCAUGCCGCGUGAGUGAAGAAGGCCUUCGGGUUGUAAAGCUCUUUCAGCCGGGAAGAAAUCGCAUGGGUCAAUACCCUGUGCGGAUGACGGUACCGGAAUAAGAAGCACCGGCUAACUACGUGCCAGCAGCCGCGGUAAUACGUAGGGUGCGAGCGUUAAUCGGAAUUACUGGGCGUAAAGCGUGCGCAGGCGGAUGCUUAAGUCAGAUGUGAAAUCCCCGGGCUUAACCUGGGAAUUGCAUUUGAAACUGGGUGUCUAGAGUGCGUCAGAGGGGGGUGGAAUUCCACGUGUAGCAGUGAAAUGCGUAGAUACGUGGAGGAACACCAAUGGCGAAGGCAGCCCCCUGGGAUGACACUGACGCUCAUGCACGAAAGCGUGGGGAGCAACCAGGAUUAGAUACCCCUGUAGUC